AUUAAUAUAUAUAUAUUUCUUGUAAAACAACUGUUGUACUCUAAAAAAGCUUAAACGGUUAGAUAACGGUGUUUAAAUAUUUUUAUAUUUAAACUCCCCCUCACGUCUGGCCUCAAGACUUUUUAAUCGGCUUGGCGUAACUCGAAUUCAGGACCUCCUACUCUGAUACCAUGUGAAACAACCGUUGUACUCUAAAAGCUUAAGCUAUUAGAUAACGGUGUUUAAAUAUUUUUAUAUUUAACAUUUCUAACUCAUUUUUUACUAGAUCG
RNAcentral lists this long non-coding RNA (269 nucleotides) under Ananas comosus (pineapple). RNAcentral describes it as "long non-coding RNA (ACOM_LNC040889)". Lineage: Eukaryota; Viridiplantae; Streptophyta; Magnoliopsida; Poales; Bromeliaceae. The record is from RNAcentral.